RNAcentral lists this ribosomal RNA (492 nucleotides) under uncultured bacterium. Its description in RNAcentral is "partial 16S ribosomal RNA". It matches the Rfam family "Bacterial small subunit ribosomal RNA", at positions 29 to 507 of the family's 1533-position model. The record is from RNAcentral.
AGUGAACGCUGGCGGUAGGCCUAACACAUGCAAGUCGAACGGCAGCACAGUAAGAGCUUGCUCUUACGGGUGGCGAGUGGCGGACGGGUGAGGAAUACAUCGGAAUCUACUUUUUCGUGGGGGAUAACGUAGGGAAACUUACGCUAAUACCGCAUACGACCUACGGGUGAAAGCAGGGGAUCUUCGGACCUUGCGCGAUUGAAUGAGCCGAUGUCGGAUUAGCUAGUUGGCGGGGUAAAGGCCCACCAAGGCGACGAUCCGUAGCUGGUCUGAGAGGAUGAUCAGCCACACUGGAACUGAGACACGGUCCAGACUCCUACGGGAGGCAGCAGUGGGGAAUAUUGGACAAUGGGCGCAAGCCUGAUCCAGCCAUAACGCGUGGGUGAAGAAGGCCUUCGGGUUGUAAAGCCCUUUUGUUGGGAAAGAAAAGCAGCAGGUUAAUACCCCGCUGUUCUGACGGUACACAAAGAAUAAGCACCGGCUAACUUCGUG